GAUGAACGCUAGCUACAGGCUUAACACAUGCAAGUCGAGGGGCAGCAUGGUCUUAGCUUGCUAAGGCCGAUGGCGACCGGCGCACGGGUGAGUAACACGUAUCCAACCUGCCGUCUACUCUUGGACAGCCUUCUGAAAGGAAGAUUAAUACAAGAUGGCAUCAUGAGUCCACAUGUUCACAUGAUUAAAGGUAUUCCGGUAGACGAUGGGGAUGCGUUCCAUUAGAUAGUAGGCGGGGUAACGGCCCACCUAGUCUUCGAUGGAUAGGGGUUCUGAGAGGAAGGUCCCCCACAUUGGAACUGAGACACGGUCCAAACUCCUACGGGAGGCAGCAGUGAGGAAUAUUGGUCAAUGGGCGAGAGCCUGAACCAGCCAAGUAGCGUGAAGGAUGACUGCCCUAUGGGUUGUAAACUUCUUUUAUAAAGGAAUAAAGUCGGGUAUGGAUACCCGUUUGCAUGUACUUUAUGAAUAAGGAUCGGCUAACUCCGUGCCAGCAGCCGCGGUAAUACGGAGGAUCCGAGCGUUAUCCGGAUUUAUUGGGUUUAAAGGGAGCGUAGAUGGAUGUUUAAGUCAGUUGUGAAAGUUUGCGGCUCAACCGUAAAAUUGCAGUUGAUACUGGAUAUCUUGAGUGCAGUUGAGGCAGGCGGAAUUCGUGGUGUAGCGGUGAAAUGCUUAGAUAUCACGAAGAACUCCGAUUGCGAAGGCAGCCUGCUAAGCUGCAACUGACAUUGAGGCUCGAAAGUGUGGGUAUCAAACAGGAUUAGAUACCCUGGUAGUCCACACGGUAAACGAUGAAUACUCGCUGUUUGCGAUAUACAGCAAGCGGCCAAGCGAAAGCGUUAAGUAUUCCACCUGGGGAGUACGCCGGCAACGGUGAAACUCAAAGGAAUUGACGGGGGCCCGCACAAGCGGAGGAACAUGUGGUUUAAUUCGAUGAUACGCGAGGAACCUUACCCGGGCUUAAAUUGCAGAUGAAUUACGGUGAAAGCCCUAAGCCGCAAGGCAUCUGUGAAGGUGCUGCAUGGUUGUCGUCAGCUCGUGCCGUGAGGUGUCGGCUUAAGUGCCAUAACGAGCGCAACCCUUGUUGUCAGUUACUAACAGGUUCCGCUGAGGACUCUGACAAGACUGCCAUCGUAAGAUGUGAGGAAGGUGGGGAUGACGUCAAAUCAGCACGGCCCUUACGUCCGGGGCUACACACGUGUUACAAUGGGGGGUACAGAGGGCCGCUACCACGCGAGUGGAUGCCAAUCCCAAAAACCUCUCUCAGUUCGGACUGGAGUCUGCAACCCGACUCCACGAAGCUGGAUUCGCUAGUAAUCGCGCAUCAGCCACGGCGCGGUGAAUACGUUCCCGGGCCU
This 1358-nucleotide ribosomal RNA is filed under the name uncultured bacterium. RNAcentral's name for it is "bacterial SSU rRNA". It matches the Rfam family "Bacterial small subunit ribosomal RNA", at positions 28 to 1381 of the family's 1533-position model. The record is from RNAcentral.